Molecule: ribosomal RNA, 484 nt
Filed under: uncultured bacterium
Lineage: Bacteria
Description: partial 16S ribosomal RNA
Rfam family: Bacterial small subunit ribosomal RNA
Source: RNAcentral
GACGAACGCUGGCGGCGUGCUUAACACAUGCAAGUCGAACGAUGAACCCGGGGCUUGCUCCGGUGGAUUAGUGGCGAACGGGUGAGUAACACGUGAGUAACCUGCCCUUGACUCUGGGAUAACUGCGGGAAACUGUAGCUAAUACCGGAUACGACCCUCGGCGGCAUCGCCAGGGGGUGGAAAGAAUUUCGGUCAAGGAUGGACUCGCGGCCUAUCAGCUAGUUGGUGAGGUAACGGCUCACCAAGGCGACGACGGGUAGCCGGCCUGGGAGGGUGGCCGGCCACACUGGGACGGAGACACGGCCCAGACUCCUACGGGAGGCAGCAGUGGGGAAUAUUGCACAAUGGGCGCAAGCCUGAUGCAGCAACGCCGCGUGAGGGAUGACGGCCUUCGGGUUGUAAACCUCUUUUAGUAGGGAAGAAGCGAAAGUGACGGUACCUGCAGAAAAAGCACCGGCUAACUGCGUGCCAGCCGCCGCCGUAA